AGUGAACGCUGGCGGUAGGCCUAACACAUGCAAGUCGAACGGCAGCACAGUAAGAGCUUGCUCUUACGGGUGGCGAGUGGCGGACGGGUGAGGAAUACAUCGGAAUCUACUUUUUCGUGGGGGAUAACGUAGGGAAACUUACGCUAAUACCGCAUACGACCUACGGGUGAAAGCAGGGAUCUUCGGACCUUUGGCGAUUGAAUGAGCCGAUGUCGGAUUAGCUAGUUGGCGGGGGAAAGGCCCACCAAGGCGACGAUCCGUAGCUGGUCUGAGAGGAUGAUCAGCCACACUGGAACUGAGACACGGUCCAGACUCCUACGGGAGGCAGCAGUGGGGAAUAUUGGACAAUGGGCGCAAGCCUGAUCCAGCCAUACCGCGUGGGUGAAGAAGGCCUUCGGGUUGUAAAGCCCUUUUGUUGGGAAAGAAAAGCAGCAGGUUAAUACCCCGCUGUUCUGACGGUACCCAAAGAAUAAGCACCGGCUAACUUCGUG
Molecule: ribosomal RNA, 491 nt
Filed under: uncultured bacterium
Lineage: Bacteria
Description: partial 16S ribosomal RNA
Rfam family: Bacterial small subunit ribosomal RNA
Source: RNAcentral